GACCCAAAUUAUUAGAGUGAAAACACUUAAAUUACACAUUGGAAAGCACUGCAAUUAUCUCUCAAAAAAAACAGACAAUGGUGGCUUAAAUUAAAAGAGCUUGAUAAACAAGAUACAUAAAACUCAGGAUGUCAAAGUAAAUACUAAGGUGAACAUAUACCUUGACACAGAGACUGUUCAACCAUUUUUGUUAGCAGUCAUGUCAAAAGCAAUUAGAGAAAUAUGUACCUAAACUGUUGAGAGGUUGUUUGGGGAGAAGAUUAUGGGGAAAUACAUGUUUUGAUAAAGAUUUCAAUGUCUGAAUUUUGAAGAAUAUGCAUUGCCUGUAUGAUUUAAAUAGCUAAAAUCAGAUUUAGCUAUCAGUCACAGAACAGAUAUACAAAUGUGCUUGGCAAGAGAAAGCUAUAUGAACUGACUUCAUAGAGACCUAUCUAAACUGCUAGUAUUUUGAGACCUAGUUAUUAAACAUUAAGUCCAGAAAUAUUAAAAGGGAAUAAGAUAAGCAAAUGAUGAAAUGUAGACAUUUUUCAUUCAAAAAUAUGGAAGCUCUUUUGACUCAAAAAAACCAAAUCUUUAUAACAAAUGAGC
RNAcentral lists this long non-coding RNA (588 nucleotides) under Bos taurus (domestic cattle). Its description in RNAcentral is "long non-coding RNA NONBTAT006637". Lineage: Eukaryota; Metazoa; Chordata; Mammalia; Artiodactyla; Bovidae. The record is from RNAcentral.